Molecule: ribosomal RNA, 503 nt
Filed under: uncultured bacterium
Lineage: Bacteria
Description: bacterial SSU rRNA
Rfam family: Bacterial small subunit ribosomal RNA
Source: RNAcentral
GAUGAACGCUAGCGGCAGGCUUAACACAUGCAAGUCGAGGGGUAACAUUGGUGCUUGCACCAGAUGACGACCGGCGCACGGGUGAGUAACGCGUAUGUAACCUACCUAUCACAGGGGGAUAGCCCGGAGAAAUUCGGAUUAAUACCGCAUAGUUUUGAGAUAUUGCAUGAUAUUUCAAAUAAAACUUCGGUGGUGAUAGAUGGACAUGCGUAUGAUUAGUUAGUUGGUGAGGUAACGGCUCACCAAGGCGACGAUCAUUAGGGGUUCUGAGAGGAAGGUCCCCCACACUGGUACUGAGACACGGACCAGACUCCUACGGGAGGCAGCAGUGAGGAAUAUUGGUCAAUGGACGGAAGUCUGAACCAGCCAUGCCGCGUGCAGGAUGACUGCCCUAUGGGUUGUAAACUGCUUUUCUGAAGGAAGAAAAGUACCUACGUGUAGGUAUUUGCCGGUACUUCAGGAAUAAGGAUCGGCUAACUCCGUGCCAGCCGCCGCCGUAACAC